Molecule: transfer RNA, 64 nt
Filed under: Platycnemis phyllopoda
Lineage: Eukaryota; Metazoa; Arthropoda; Insecta; Odonata; Platycnemididae
Description: tRNA-Gly
Rfam family: tRNA
About the family: Transfer RNA (tRNA) molecules are approximately 80 nucleotides in length.
Source: RNAcentral
AUUUAUUUAGUAUAAAGUAUAUUUGACUUCCAAUCAAAAGGUCUGAUUAAUAUCAGAAUAAAUA